This 370-nucleotide ribosomal RNA is filed under the name uncultured bacterium. Its description in RNAcentral is "partial 16S ribosomal RNA". It matches the Rfam family "Bacterial small subunit ribosomal RNA", at positions 355 to 715 of the family's 1533-position model. The record is from RNAcentral.
UGGGGAAUUUUGGACAAUGGGCGCAAGCCUGAUCCAGCCAUGCCGCGUGCGGGAAGAAGGUCUUCGGGUUGUAAACCGCUUUUGUCAGGGAAGAAAUCUUCCGAGUUAAUACCUCGGGAGGAUGACGGUACCUGAAGAAUAAGCACCGGCUAACUACGUGCCAGCAGCCGCGGUAAUACGUAGGGUGCAAGCGUUAAUCGGAAUUACUGGGCGUAAGCGUGCGCAGGCGGUUUUGUAAGACAGAGGUGAAAUCCCCGGGCUCAACCUGGGAACUGCCUUUGUGACUGCAAGGCUUGAGUGCGGCAGAGGGGGGCAUGGAAUUCCGCGUGUAGCAGUGAAAUUGCGUAGAUAUGCGGAGGAACACCGAUGG